AUACAUGCAAGUCGAACGGGAUCCAAUCAGUGGCAACACUGAGGAAGAUCUAGUGGCGAACGGGUGAGUAACACGUGAGGAACCUAUCCCGGUCUCUGGAAUAACAGGUGGAAACACCUGCUAAUACCGGAUACCGCCGACGCCCCUCCUGGGGUGUCGACGAAAGAUUUAUCGGAUCGGGNCGGCCUCGCGGCCUAUCAGCUAGUUGGUGGGGUAACGGCCUACCAAGGCAUCGACGGGUAGCUGUUCUGAGAGGAUGAUCAGCCACACUGGGACUGAGACACGGCCCAGACUCCUACGGGAGGCAGCAGUAGGGAAUCUUGCGCAAUGGGCGAAAGCCUGACGCAGCAACGCCGCGUGCGGGAAGAAGGCUCUCGGGUUGUAAACCGCUUUCAGUAGGAACGAAAAUGACGGUACCUGCAGAAGAAGG
RNAcentral lists this ribosomal RNA (430 nucleotides) under grassland soil clone saf2_203. RNAcentral's name for it is "bacterial SSU rRNA". It matches the Rfam family "Bacterial small subunit ribosomal RNA", at positions 51 to 491 of the family's 1533-position model. The record is from RNAcentral.